This is a long non-coding RNA of Gallus gallus (chicken), 2295 nucleotides long. The record is from Ensembl. Lineage: Eukaryota; Metazoa; Chordata; Aves; Galliformes; Phasianidae.
ACAAACAAUCCUUGUUCAAUACAGUAGUAAUCCAGCAAUGGGGCUGAAGGAAAUCAACAGCACACUAGACCUAGCUCAGCGAGAGGAGCAACAGCUUUAUGGCAUUCAUGCUCUUGCUUCUGCCUGCAUUCACACACGGGCUCUGCAGAGACCAUCUGUGGUGUUCGAGGAAUGCACGAUUCCUGCCUCAUGUCAUAAAAGUUUGCUUCCCAGGAAGAUGCUGGUUCUGCUGCCUGUGGGACCCUUUGUGCGCAUGAAAGGAGAGGAGGGAUGGGUUUUUGCCAUCUAUUUUAACAACGCUAAUUAAAUAAAGAUAUCCACAGAGCACGGAGCAUCGUUAAUUACAGCCCUUUUCACAGAGAGUGUGUGCAGAGGGGGGGGAUGGCACAGAAGCCAAGUCACACAGAUGCACAGAAGUCAAUGUACUGGAACACCCCCAGCUCCAGUUCUACUGCCAGCUCACAGGGAGGGAGCUGCUGACCCCAGGCCUGGCGGAGGGGGCCUAAAAACCUUUUUGGGCCAAUCUUGAACUGCAGCAUAAAAAAUAUGCCCCUUGCUUGAGUCACAGCAUGGUCAGGCUGCCGGAACGUGCUCAGCACUCCAGCAGUGUGAGAGAACUGAAGGUGAUCUCAGCACAUCUCCUGUAGCUUUUAAGACUUUAAUGUGACACUUUAGUGCUGACAGCACUCGGCAUUCCCUUACAGGCUGCACUGAGAUUCACUGGCAUGUUUUAGAGGGCUUAGAAGGAUGCGCAUUGCUCUCACGUUUAGCUAUCUCCAGUCACUCUAUACCAUAUUUCUCCAGUUUAGAAGCAAAGAGAUGCUGUUGCUAACGCUGCCACAACACAACCAGUGUUUCUGCUCAUGAACGUACACUGACACCACCUGCUUGCAGGUGCCACGGAGCGGACUGUCCAGACUCAGCACAGAUAGAGUAACUGAAAGCGUUGCUCUUUGCCUUAGUAGUAGACUCACAGCCCUCUGAACGAGUUGAGACUGCGGCAAAGCACGGAUCCCACAAAGCCUGCGGUUCGUAUGAGGUGCGGAGCGCCGAGGAGGGCCUCUGGCGGAGUCCCCGGCUCUAAGUCCCCCAGCUCGGCUCUGCUCUCCACCUGAAGAAAGCGACUACCACCCAGUGGUGCUGAGGGUUAUUACAGCUGUGGGAAAUGCCGAUGAAAUUGCUUAUAUUUGGUACGAUGCGAUGUUUUCUUCGGUAGUGGAAGAAGCAGUGAGAAACGAGGCCAGUAACAUCUACAAGUGACCUCUGCUGCUCCUCAAAGUGCUAAAAGGAAGAAAGCAGCAGCAGUCAGAAAUGUGGCAUUGCCUCCAUUGGAUACAAACAAACUGCUUGGAUUUGGGGUGAUCCAAGCUGCUUCACUUGUGUUCUGCCAGAAUUUCCACAAAACAACAUGUGUGUGCUAACCUCAGAGCUUCAGGUGCUUGCACGUGCAACUGGCACUGUGCUGCUGAACAUGGUUGCCCAACGAGGUUGUGGAUGCCCCAUCCCUGGAGGCAUUCAAGGCCAGGCCGGAUGUGGCUCUGGGCAGCCUGGUCUGGUGGUUGGCGACCCUGCACAUAGCAGGGGGGUUGAAACUACAUGAUCAUUGUGGUCCUUUUCAACCCAGGCCAUUCUGUGAUUCUGUGAUUCUAUGAUAUGGUGUCUUCUAUCCCAUCUUUCAGCCCCCCAGUUUGAGAUAGAUUUGUGGUCUUUAAUCUGUCUUAAAGGUCGUUACCAGUGACUGUUGCUCACUGUCUUCCUGUGCAAGGCCUUGUGUGCAAGGCCAGACUAAAGGAGGAAACUGGGAGAAGGAAAGAAGGAGUGUGGGGAGCACACCAUCACACAAGUACUGUCCCUGUGGUGGUGGUAGGGGGUCUGGAGGUGUUCAGAAAAUGUGGAGAUGUGGCACUGAGGGACAUGGUUUAGCGGGCAAGGGUUGAUGGGUUGAUGGUUGGACUAGAUGGUCUUAGAGGUCUUUUCCAACCUUAACAGAAUCUUUCCCCCCCGCACAGGGGGCCAUAAAAAAAUAGAGAGAAUUGUUAAAUAUUGCAAGAAUGAAAGAAAGAUGUAAGUGAUCACACGUUGUAGUUGCCACAUUAUCAGUAAUGACAUUAUCUGAUUAAACUCACAGAGUUGAAUUCUGCAGAAUGUUUACAUGAAGCCUUCAAAUCUGAAUCUGUUCCUCUCUUUUUCCAAUGUCAUGGACAAAGGAGCAUGUACUCAAAGUAUAAUUAUUCAAUUCAUAUGUAGAUUCUGAAAAUAAAAUCUCGAAGCUGAUAGUGGAUUUUCAGGAAACUU